This 301-nucleotide ribosomal RNA is filed under the name uncultured bacterium. RNAcentral's name for it is "partial 16S ribosomal RNA". It matches the Rfam family "Bacterial small subunit ribosomal RNA", at positions 509 to 807 of the family's 1533-position model. The record is from RNAcentral.
CAGUCGCCGCGGGAAUACGGAAGGUCCAGGCGUUAUCCGGAUUUAUUGGGUUUAAAGGGGGUGUAGGCGGUCUGUUAAGCGUGUUGUGAAAUUUAGGUGCUCAACAUCUAACUUGCAGCGCGAACUGGCGGACUUGAGUGCACGCAACGUAUGCGGAAUUCAUGGUGUAGCGGUGAAAUGCUUAGAUAUCAUGACGAACUCCGAUUGCGAAGGCAGCGUACGGGAGUGUUACUGACGCUUAAGCUCGAAGGUGCGGGUAUCGAACAGGAUUAGAUACCCGCGUAGUCCCUGUCUCUUAUAC